RNAcentral lists this ribosomal RNA (253 nucleotides) under uncultured bacterium. RNAcentral describes it as "partial 16S ribosomal RNA". It matches the Rfam family "Bacterial small subunit ribosomal RNA", at positions 524 to 776 of the family's 1533-position model. The record is from RNAcentral.
UACGUAGGGGGCAAGCGUUGUCCGGAUUUAUUGGGCGUAAAGCGCACGUAGGCGGAUUGUUAAGUCAGGGGUGAAAUCCUGGAGCUCAACUCCAGAACUGCCUUUGAUACUGGCAAUCUUGAGUCCGGAAGAGGUGAGUGGAACUCCUAGUGUAGAGGUGGAAUUCGUAGAUAUUAGGAAGAACACCAGUGGCGAAGGCGGCUCACUGGUCCGGUACUGACGCUGAGGUGCGAAAGCGUGGGGAGCAAACAGG